UUAAAGUUGUGAUGUAAUAAAGG
RNAcentral lists this non-coding RNA (23 nucleotides) under Cricetulus griseus (Chinese hamster). The record is from RNAcentral. Lineage: Eukaryota; Metazoa; Chordata; Mammalia; Rodentia; Cricetidae.